RNAcentral lists this unclassified non-coding RNA (232 nucleotides) under soil metagenome. RNAcentral's name for it is "partial internal transcribed spacer 1". The record is from RNAcentral.
UUGAAUCUUAAUGAGGAGUUUGGUUGUAGCUGGCCCAUUCAUUUGGGCAUGUGCACACCUUCCUCUUUCAUCCCACACACACCUGUGAACCUGUGAGACAGAGAUGGGGAAUUUACUUGCUGCUUUUUGGAAUACAAAGGCAAUAGGUUAUUGGACCCCCCCUCUGUCUACUCAAUUAAUAUAAACUCAAUUUAUUUUAAAACGAAUGUAAUGGAUGUAACACAUCUCAUAC